RNAcentral lists this transfer RNA (66 nucleotides) under Schistosoma mansoni. Lineage: Eukaryota; Metazoa; Platyhelminthes; Trematoda; Strigeidida; Schistosomatidae. The record is from RNAcentral.
UGUGUAGUUUAUUCAUUUUCAAUUCAUAUCCUAAAAUGAUCAACUUAAUAAGAUUUUCAUUAACAG